Molecule: unclassified non-coding RNA, 720 nt
Filed under: Hevea brasiliensis (rubber tree)
Lineage: Eukaryota; Viridiplantae; Streptophyta; Magnoliopsida; Malpighiales; Euphorbiaceae
Source: RNAcentral
UAAAUACCAGUACCACUCCGGUUCUCCAUAGCAAACCAUUCCUCACUAGUCUUUCUGCUCUGUGCAAUACCGGUGGAAGAUCCAUAAAAACCAUGGCAGACCCAGCAUCGCCAGCUUCGAUGUGGGGUUUCGCGACCGGCUGGUUUACACCCGCCAAUCUUUUCUUAUUCGUCAAUCUGGUGAUUGGCACCAUUGCCCUUACCUCCCGUUUCGGCUCCAACAGAAGACAACAUCAAGAGGAAAUUCAACCUCUCGCUAGAACCCCUUCCCUCUUAGAGCGAGUCAAGUCCAUCAACUUUUCAUUCUACAACCACCCACUGCCUGACUCUGAACCGCAAGUAGAACCCACAACGGACUCAGUGCAUGACACCGAGCCAGAGUGCACAACUGAGGUUCAUACGGUUCAACUCGAACGAGCCCCCUCAUUCUUAGAACGGGUUAAGUCCAUCAAGUUGUCUUCUUUCUAUAGAUCCGAACCAGAAACCGAAAUUGUUGCUGAAGCUGAUUCGGAUCCAGAUGUGGAAGGGAAGCAUCAGGUAAAGAGGAGUAAAUCGGAGCCUAGGGAAGCUUCGGAGAAGAAAGCGCCUGAGAAGAUGAAGAAAUCAGCAAGCGAAAGAGAGGUGGUCGUAGAGGAGGACAGAGAGAGAGUGGAGCGGAGGAGGCCUGCAACGACGAGGAUAGAAAAGACGGCGUCGUUUGGAGACGAAGGGGUUGACGCGA